AAUUACACGUUCUAUGAAUAACAUUAUCUCACAUUUGCAAUGAAAAUACACGCAACACGCACAAUUAUUCCGAGUUUCAAUAAAUCGUAGUAUCUGUGCGUUUAGAUUGCGGCGACUGCACAGGUCCUGGGCGCUGGGGGGUAUUUGUCAGUUCUGGCAACCUAAUUUGCAGUACCAGUUCUCGUUAGCUGACAGGUGUGCUCAACGGUUUACCGAGGAAUAAGGUUGUUACCACUAUCAUCUGGACCCCAGAGAAGAUGAAGCUAAAUCCAACACCACUGUGGACAGGAACAAACAAGCACUCAGCAUAGAUUUGCUGCUGGGAUGUGCUGGAAGUGCCGAAGCCAUCUGUGACAAACAGUCUUCUGCCAGCGAUCGUACAGAAAGUGGGACUGUGUGCAUGGUUAAUCUGAAUGUGACCUCUGAACCCCUCAUGCAACCGAAGCACCUGAGCUCCACUGAACCAAAACAGACUCGGCUUUUAUAACAAAUUGAAAUGAAAAGCCGGACCUCACAGAUGUGUGAUGUGGACGUGCAGGGUCAGCAACGGAGCGGCACUCAUGCAGUCGGCGCGGUGCCACAGACGCUUCAGCAGCAGAUGCUCGCUGUCAAGGGACUUGAGCCAGAACCUUGUAGUUGAAGGUUGGCUCACUUCACCACUGUACUGUAGCCCAGCAGACUGUAAUAUAAACCACCAACGCCUGCAUAUGCUGUGAAUGACCUGUGGGUAUAGUUUGGGUGGCAUUAAACAUCCUGACAUCCUUCCCCUAAUCUGCAUAAUAGUCUGGCUCCUGCGUGGGCUCCAAAGUGCGGUGAAGUCCCGGAGAAACACUUUGAUAUGGCCGACUGAAAAAAAACACUAGAUGCAGACCCAAGACAAAGUGAAGCCGGUCCUCCAAGAUGACUGUGACUGAUGGUGUGGGAGCUGCACAGACUGGACAAGCCCAUAGUGAUACACAGUCAGUAAACCAACAAUCAUUCAUUUUUAUCAUUUGCUUUUCAACUGCGGCGGUUUCUCGCUCCGCUUCGGAUUCCUCUCACGUCAGGUGCCAGAUAUCAGUCAAAGCCACACUGUCCAGACCCACCACGACAACAGGAGCGCAGCUUUAAGCACACGGACGCCUCCGUGGAGCCGGCGAGGCGUGUGGCGCGUGGGUGCUCCAGCUCCCGACCUUUGGCUUCCUUUUCACCCAAAGGGCAGAAAGCGGAUACCUGUGGUGCAGCCCACCAGCUCGCUGAUUGGCGGAGCAGCGGCCAGUUUCAGGUGGUGGAGUCAUUGGGCGGCUCCUUGGUACUGAAGAUGUGUCAGGGAAGGGAGGAGGAAACAGUUCCGUCCUGGGAGUUGGCUGGGUGGUCACGGAGGAGGAUGGUGAUCUGCAGGGUGUGACAGGAAUCUGCUCCACCGUGGCGUCCCCUGUGAACAACAGUGGAGAGGCUUCAGUAAAAGGAGAGAGGAGCACCUUCACCCAGAGGCUGGUCAGCAUCCAAUGCUCCACAGAACACCACUGAAGAUCCUUCCCAUGACCAUCAAACUCUAGUUCUAGUGAACCCUUUGUUAGGGUUCACAAACUGGAUGUUAUUUCUAUCCUAUUAUUCUGUCUGUAUUGAAAGCAAUUAAAAGCAGGCAAAGCAAUUUCUCUGGCAUUAAUAAAGCUUUUUGAAUCAUGAA
Betta splendens (Siamese fighting fish) is the source of this 1669-nucleotide long non-coding RNA. RefSeq lists it as uncharacterized. NCBI's taxonomy places the organism in Eukaryota, Metazoa, Chordata, Actinopteri, Anabantiformes, Osphronemidae. The transcript has 8 exons. The record is from RefSeq and is a predicted model, not a curated record.